GAGGAGACUGAAGUGUUGAUCUGAUGGACCUCUUUUGCAAACUGAUGGUGAGUCAGUCCUUCAGAGCGUUUUCAGGUUUAGCCGCCUCGGUGUGAACAAAGUUGGACUGUGUACAGUUUGAACUUGACUGACUGGACUUCCUGAGAGGAGAGACUUUAGAGCCACAUUAAUCCUGCCGGAGAAAAUCCUGAUUCAACCGAACCAAAGAUCCUUUUUUUCCAGCAGAGAAGAUGAACUGGGAUGAACAGACGAGGAUAUUUAUUGGAGACUUUUGGGAACCCUCUCAGGUUUCCAUCCAAAGAAAACUCUUUCUUGAAACAGGGACAAAAACAAUGAGAUACCAAAAAAUUCAGGCUGAAGUUCUGUCUGUAGCUUUACUCCCUGGUUUCCUUUUAUUACGUUUUUUUUGCAACAGCGAUGCCAAAGGAGGGCGCGACCAAAGCAAAUAGACUGAAAAUGCACAACAAGCAACAACAUGGACGUCUGAGGACGGCACUUGAGUUUUACAUCACAAACUGAACAAUAUAAGAAGACCUGGAGGACGAACUGUACAGAAAAUAAGGAAAAGAAAGGACAAAAAAAAAACAUAAAUUAUAUUUAUCUUGUUCCUUAUAUCAUGCUUUGGGCACUUUUGUUUUCAAAUGUUGAUAAUUUAAUGUUUGCAGCUCUGAUGUUGGUUAAUGUAAAGAGAGCAGAAAGAGACAAGAAGAGAUAAUGGAUGUGAUUUCUUAUAGAAAUACUCUCAUUGUUCAUAAAAAAGAUGUGUUUAAUACGACACAAACAGUGUUUGAAAACAGACUGAAGCUCAAGUUUAGACUCUUUUUUUUUCCCUCAUUGUAGCAUUUUGUACAUUUUCAGAGUUUCUUUAAGUGUUUUUAUUUGAGUACAGAGAUGACGUCUGAUUCUCUGGGGCACAAAUCCAAAAAAGAUGAACAUAUCCAGUUUGGAAAAACACUUUCUCAUUUCUCAUGACAGUUUUUCUCUAGUAAGACUUCAUAUUUGAAUAUGUUCAGAAGUGUAAAUAGUGCCGUGUCAUAACAGAAGACUUUGUAUCAGAUUGAGUGAGGGUAAAAGCACCGUUAUUACAUGGACACCAAAAAGGUUUUUCGUGCCUGAGAGUUUAAAAAGCUUUAAUAAUGAUGAUGAUGAUAAUAAUAAUAAUGAUCUUAAAACUGUAAAAUGCUCCUCCCAAAGACCAACAUCCUGCUGGAUGUAAACCCACAGUCUAUACCAAAACUGAGCAGGUGUUUCACCUUUACUUUUACCACACAGACUUCUGUGAGAGUCCAAACCAAGAGAACCCCUUUAGUUUAAACUUGACAAACUGCCUCCAUAUAAAAAUGGUCUCAUUUUUUUUUUCCAAAUCAAAAGCUCAUCAUGUUUUCGAAAAACAAAGUCAACAUGUAUUUUAUGCUUAAAUUGAUCACUUCCAACCAUUGACUGUAUUGGUGUAAAAGAUAGACAACAUGUCUCCACCUCCUCCAGUUUUACAAAAGUAAAGCCAAGAUAACCACCACCCUGUUGAAAACAUUAGGCAGUUGGGAUUCUUGUUUGUCAUUUCACUUUUCUGAUUGUCCAGUGCAUACUACACAGCAGAAGCCGCAUUUGUCAACAGAGCUGUCAAUCAUCUUUAAAGCAAAAUAAUUCAAUCAGCGUGUCUGAAAAAUAAACGUUCAGACAUGGAAUAGCAUGAUAAGAGCUUACUGAAAUGACAGAAACCAUGUUUGAGAGACGUCUAUUUGACCUGUGUUUUUAUUGUAUAGUUUGAUCCAUGUUCCAUCUGUUCACAGAAAAUGGGGGUGGGGUGGGGGGUGUUAUAUGUUUUGGCUCUAGAGGAGCUUUUAUUUCAUUAUUUCAUUUUUUACACAGAUUCUAACCACUUCUAUGUAAAAUUCAUUGCCAUUCAAACUGUAAUUUUCAGUGGCACAGAGAUCAGUAAUGUUGAAUUUCACCUCCUCAAACCUCCAUCCUCACAAAAUACUAUGGUCAUAAAUAUGAAAGGUAACUUUCAAACACAGCUGAUAUCAGUGGACUGUCAACAAACUUUUUUGUCAUGUUUUAAAUGACCAGAGACAAGCAAAAUUUGUGCUGGGUUUCCAACAGACAGGAACUCUUUUGAGAACACACUUUUGAUCUGAGGAAGCUGAAAUUAUCCCACAACCUUUAGAGUCUUUGAAACUUAAGUUUGAUUUUAUUUGAAUGCGUCACAGACUCUUGCAGAACCAGUUUCACAUUUUGACAGUUUCUUUCCUGAUUAUUCCCAUUACUAUAAAGUAUUUCUAUCACACUGCCUCCUGUAGACUCAUUUUACAGUUUAAGUAUUGAUUCAUCUGCUCUUCAAUGUGAUCAUGUCUGCUCUAUGAACUCCUACAGACGAGUUUGUGUUGGUCUAAGUAAAUCAUUUUGAUGCCAAAGUGAAACACCUCUUUCUUUAUGGAUCCAAUGCUGUAAAUAAAAAAUACAAACUAUGAGAUUUUUUUAUGUGACUGAUGAGGUAAAAUAUUUUGACUCAGUUAAGGACAAAAACGCAAAUGUGAAGAUGAACCAGAGCUCAGAGAAAAUUCACUUUCUGUUCUCAUCUGAAUCCAGAGAACAGCCUGAAGAGUUCACAUCUGAAAAACAAAAAAUGCCCUGUUAUUAAAAAGUAUAAACAAACUAAAAUCUGCUCAACAUAAACAACCGAAAGACUUCAUACAAUAUGUCUACACGCUGCUGUGUACUUAAAUCCUGCUUUUGUUAAGGGAGAAAAAUAAGAAAUUCAAUUCCAACAUUUCAUGUUUAAUCCAAAGAUUACAAAAAAAUAAUUUCCGUCUUAAUUAGUCAUAUAUUAUAAUGGUAAUGUAAAGCUUUAUUUUCUGUUUGACACGCACAGAAACUGAUUUUUUUUCUGAUCUCUGGUGAAGAUAAUCACUCCCUCUGUAAUGUGACAUAAAAUUAUCUGGUCAUGCCAAACAGAAAAACUUGUUUUGAUUCAGUUGGACUUAUUCUUGUUAGCAUGAUUUCUCUGGCUCCUCCCCUUUUUUUAAGUGAAUGACUAAAACCAAAAAGACGUUGUUCCAAAGGAAAUAAAGCUGAACACAGUUUUCAUUCUUUCAUUCGCA
RNAcentral lists this long non-coding RNA (3101 nucleotides) under Xyrichtys novacula (pearly razorfish). The record is from RNAcentral. Lineage: Eukaryota; Metazoa; Chordata; Actinopteri; Labriformes; Labridae.